Molecule: ribosomal RNA, 314 nt
Filed under: Crotonia brachyrostrum
Lineage: Eukaryota; Metazoa; Arthropoda; Arachnida; Sarcoptiformes; Crotoniidae
Description: eukaryotic LSU rRNA
Rfam family: Eukaryotic large subunit ribosomal RNA
Source: RNAcentral
CCAAGGAGUCUAACAUGUGCGCGAGUCACUCGGUCUUGAAUAGGCCAGAGAGGCGCAAUGAAAGUAAAGUUGAUUGAGUUACGAUCCUCAUGCGGUUAUGCGUUUGUGUAACGGUGAGGCGCAGUAACAGCCCGCUAAUUUCGCUUUUUGACGAUAUGGCGGAGUUAUAGCGUACACGUUGGUACCCGAAAGAUGGUGAACUAUGCCUGGGCAGGACGAAGCCAGAGGAAACUCUGGUGGAGGUUCGUAGAAAUUUUGACGUGCAAAUCAAUUUUCAGACCUGGGUAUAGGGGCGAAAGACUAAUCGAACCAUC